AGGGGAGCUACGUAUGACUGGAUCCUCAAAGAGAAGUUACGUAGGCAGCUUGGCAUACUACUCCAAGUUCAGUCAAAGCUGAUGAAUUUGUGGUGCGGAACCCGGGAUCAACAACACAAUCCGAAACCCCACAUAUAACACCAGCACGCAGAAAACUUGAAGCCUUAAAUAAACCAUCCCUACGUACCCCACAAUCAACGGUGCGAUGGUGAACAACGGUAACUGGGAAUAGGAAAGAGAAUUGAAAAGGCGCCACGAGAAUACCUCGGUAAAUAGAUUCAACUCCUAAUUCAAGGGGACGGGUGAAGAAUCCUCCAAGGAGCACUCGCAAUUAGCAAAAGCUGAACGCAGUAGAACUUCCUCUCUCCCGGCGGGAUUCCGCUUGCUCCGGGGUUGUUUGCUC
RNAcentral lists this long non-coding RNA (403 nucleotides) under Carica papaya (papaya). Its description in RNAcentral is "long non-coding RNA (CPAP_LNC014666)". The record is from RNAcentral. Lineage: Eukaryota; Viridiplantae; Streptophyta; Magnoliopsida; Brassicales; Caricaceae.